This 253-nucleotide ribosomal RNA is filed under the name uncultured bacterium. RNAcentral's name for it is "partial 16S ribosomal RNA". It matches the Rfam family "Bacterial small subunit ribosomal RNA", at positions 524 to 776 of the family's 1533-position model. The record is from RNAcentral.
UACGUAGGCAGCAAGCGUUGUUCGGAGUUACUGGGCGUAAAGAGUGUGUAGGCGGUUCGCUAAGUUUGGUGUGAAAUCUCCCGGCUUAACUGGGAGGGUGCGCCGAAAACUGGUGGGCUAGAGUGUGGGAGAGGGAAGCGGAAUUCAUGGUGUAGCGGUGAAAUGCGUAGAUAUCAUGAGGAACACCUGUGGUGUAGACGGCUUCCUGGACCACAACUGACGCUGAGACACGAAAGCGUGGGGAGCAAACAGG